GAGACAUAUGUUGAAUUGAAUCAUUCGAGCAGCGGACGGGUGAGUAAAGCACAAGGACUUGUCCGAAAGAGAGGGACACCUGCGGGAAACCGGAGCUAAUACCUCAUAAGCCGGAAGGUGAAAAGCAGAGAUGCGCUUUUGGAGAGACUUGUGUCCUAUCAGGCAGUUGGUGAGGUGAAAGCUCACCAAACCGAAGACGGGUAGCCGGACUGAGAGGUCGACCGGCCACAUUGGAACUGAGAGACGGUCCAGACUCCUACGGGAGGCAGCAGUGGGGAAUAUUGGGCAAUGGGCGGAAGCCUGACCCAGCGACGCCGCGUGAGGGAAGACAGCCUUCGGGUUGUAAACCUCUGUUGCAGGGGAAGAAGGAAGUGACGGAACCCUGCGAGGAAGCUCCGGCUAACUACGUGCCAGCAGCCGCGGUAAUACGUAGGGAGCGAGCGUUGUCCGGAAUUACUGGGCGUAAAGGGCGCGUAGGCGGCGCUUCAAGUCGUCUGUCAAAUGGAAGGGCUUAACCCUUUUUCGCAGACGAAACUGGAGAGCUUGAGAAGCAGAGAGGCAAACAGAAUUCCUGGUGUAGCGGUGAAAUGCGUAGAUAUCAGGAAGAAUACCAGUGGCGAAGGCGGUUUGCUGGCUGCAUACUGACGCUGAAGCGCGAAAGCCAGGGGAGCGAACGGGAUUAGAUACCCCGGUAGUCCUGGCAGUAAACGAUGUAUGCUGGGGUGUGAGACUAGCGAUAGUUUCGUGCCGAAGUU
Molecule: ribosomal RNA, 755 nt
Filed under: uncultured bacterium
Lineage: Bacteria
Description: bacterial SSU rRNA
Rfam family: Bacterial small subunit ribosomal RNA
Source: RNAcentral